Molecule: ribosomal RNA, 471 nt
Filed under: uncultured bacterium
Lineage: Bacteria
Description: bacterial SSU rRNA
Rfam family: Bacterial small subunit ribosomal RNA
Source: RNAcentral
GGGCUCACACAAGCGGUGGAGUAUGUGGCUUAAUUCGAGGCUACGCGCAAAACCUUAUCCCAGGCUUGACAUGCACGGAUUAGCCGGCGGAAACGUCGGUGAGGCCGCAAGGUACAACGUGCACAGGUGCUGCAUGGCUGUCGUCAGCUCGUGCCGUGAGGUGUUGGGUUAAGUCCCCUAACGAGCGAAACCCCUGUGUCUAGUUGCCAGCGCGUCAUGGCGGGAACUCUAGACAGACCGCCGGCGUUAAGCCGGAGGAAGGCGGGGAUGACGUCAAGUCCUCAUGGCCCUUAUGCCUGGGGCUGCACACGUACUACAAUGGGGCGGACAGAGCGUCGCAAGGCCGCAAGGCCAAGCUAAUCGCAAAAACCGCUCCCCAGUUCGGAUUGCGGGCUGCAACCCGCCCGCAUGAAGCCGGAAUCGCUAGUAAUCGCGGAUCAGCAUGCCGCGGUGAAUGUGUUCCUGAGCCUU